Prosopis cineraria is the source of this 364-nucleotide long non-coding RNA. RefSeq lists it as uncharacterized. The record is from RefSeq and is a predicted model, not a curated record. The transcript has 3 exons. Lineage: Eukaryota; Viridiplantae; Streptophyta; Magnoliopsida; Fabales; Fabaceae.
AGAGGCUAAGAUGCAAUUUAGAGGAAAUUGCAACUUUUGGCCCAAAGGUUUGAAUAAUUAAAUUCAAACCUAUAGUUUUUUUUAAUAUAAUUUUGGGACUCACAAUCCCAUUUUUAUAUUAUUUUUCUCUCUUCCUCUCACGUUGCUCGGCGUUUUCUCGCAAGGGGGGAUUAUUUUCUUUUUCUUCAGAUUAUAUUGACAAAGAUAGUGGUGAAAAAGGAGUUGUGAAGGGGAACUUGUUAUUCAAGACACAAGGAGCGAGUCCGGCCGAGAAAGCACCAGAGGUGUAACUAUGGUGUAUGAAACACCAUCUUUUACGUUGCCUCUUAUUUUGGAUUAUACAAUGUAUCUUGUGCAAACUUAG